AGCGAACGUUGGCGGCGCGCCUAACACAUGCAAGUCGCACGAGAAACGGAGCAAUCCGCGGUACAGUGGCGCACGGGUGAGUAACACGUGGAUGACCUUCCCUGGAGUGGUGGAUAACCUGCCGAAAGGCGGGCUAAUACAGCAUAGGACCACGACGCUUUGGCGAUGUGGUGAAAGCGGGCCUCUAUAUAUAAGCUCGCGCUCCGGGACGGGUCCGCGUCCCAUCAGCUAGUUGGUGAGGUAACGGCUCACCAAGGCAACGACGGGUAGCUGGUCUGAGAGGAUGGCCAGCCACACUGGAACUGAGACACGGUCCAGACUCCUACGGGAGGCAGCAGUGGGGAAUCUUGCGCAAUGGGCGAAAGCCUGACGCAGCGACGCCGCGUGAGUGAUGAAGGCCCUCGGGUCGUAAAGCUCUGUGGAGAGGGACGAAAACCCUGGUUUCAAAUAGGCUCCAGGCUUGACGGUACCUCUUUAGCAAGCACCGGCU
This 490-nucleotide ribosomal RNA is filed under the name uncultured bacterium. RNAcentral's name for it is "bacterial SSU rRNA". It matches the Rfam family "Bacterial small subunit ribosomal RNA", at positions 29 to 498 of the family's 1533-position model. The record is from RNAcentral.